GGGCAGCAUGACUGUAGCAAUACAGUUGAUGGCGACCGGCAAACGGGUGCGGAACACGUACAGAACCUUCCUUCGAGCGGGGAAUAGCCCAGAGAAAUUUGGAUUAAUACCCCAUAGUAUUACGGAGUGGCAUCACUCUUUAAUUAAAGAUUUAUCACUUGAAGAUGGCUGUGCGGCUGAUUAGGUAGUUGGUAAGGUAACGGCUUACCAAGCCUGCGAUCAGUAACUGGUGUGAGAGCACGACCAGUCACACGGGCACUGAGACACGGGCCCGACUCCUACGGGAGGCAGCAGUAAGGAAUAUUGGUCAAUGGACGAAAGUCUGAACCAGCUAUGCCGCGUGGAGGAUGAAGGCCCUCUGGGUUGUAAACUUCUUUUAUAUGGGACGAAAAAGGGUCUUUCUAGAUCAACUGACGGUACCAUGUGAAUAAGCACCGGCUAACUCCGUGCCAGCAGCCGCGGUAAUACGGAGGGUGCAAGCGUUAUCCGGAUUCACUGGGUUUA
Molecule: ribosomal RNA, 504 nt
Filed under: uncultured bacterium
Lineage: Bacteria
Description: bacterial SSU rRNA
Rfam family: Bacterial small subunit ribosomal RNA
Source: RNAcentral